CAAAGGCCAUUUGGAGGGAGGUCUCCCCCGACUUGGUCAUAGAGCACCAGGAGACGGAGAGGAAUGGCACCAGGAGAGCACAAUGAACUGACAUAAAUCCUGUCUGUGUACUAACACUCUGACCCCAGUAAGAAGAUGGAUGAGAACAGUGAUUUCAAACAGCACGGGAAGCCCUGAGCAGGAAACUGCCAAGAACUAGGACAGAGUCCCCAGGGCAUGUG
Molecule: long non-coding RNA, 221 nt
Filed under: Bos indicus x Bos taurus (hybrid cattle)
Lineage: Eukaryota; Metazoa; Chordata; Mammalia; Artiodactyla; Bovidae
Description: lncRNA (ENSBIXG00005016486.1)
Source: RNAcentral